AGAGUUAAAUCCAUGGUCUGGCGCAUGGUUGUUGACAGACUCUGCAUUUUCAAGGACUGGUCUAUUUCUUACAUAGUCGUAUUUUCCUUUAAAAAAGUGCACUUACAGGAGGAUAAUAGUUUAUUGAUAUAAAGCAAGGCCAAUAGUUGAAAUCAAUAUGCAGAGUUCAAAUCGAAAACUUGCAUUAUACCACCAUAAAUUUCCAGUAAAACCUCCUCUAGUGUUGACUGAGAAUUUCAAGAAAACCCUUGCACCAUGUUAUCCUUCAUGAAGUGUGCAAAACGUGUUAUAGGCCUAGUGAGCUUUGUUUAUAACGUUAAGACACUGAAUAUUUAUUACAAUUCCAGUGAUUGGUUAGAAAUAAUUCAGCAGUGAAGAUGUGAUACGGUACGGUAACCAGUUCAUGUUAAUAUUAUAAUACACAUCAGUUGGCCUAAGUAGACAGAUAUUGAUGGUAUAUUUUGGAAUAACAUCAGUUGGAAAUCGAUAUCAGUGUUGUAAAUUAUUAUCAAAUUAUCUGAACGUUGUUAUACAAAGUGCCUUUAAUCCGUCCAAAUAAUCUAUUCUUAUAAUAAUAUUUCAUUAUAACAGUCCUAGUUCAUGAGAACUAUGAAUUGAAAUGUAGGUAAACGAAAUACAUGAAUCAUAAUUUAUAGACAUAUAUUAACAGAUAAAACUGGACAGUAUCCUAUCACAUGAAGGGAAACAAUCAAUAAAUAAAUCCAGUCCUUCUAGUGAUAAUCUAUCUAUAAUGCUAAGUGGACUAUCUUCAGCACAACGAUUAGCUUUAUUGAGUGCGACAAGAGAGAAAUCUGGAUCACCGUCAAGUGAGGGACACAGGAACAUGACAACCACUCCACCGCUUCAUGCUGGAGUCAAUGUUCUUUUGGGAGGAGCGAUGAUGAGUGGUAUGCUGCUGCUGGUUGUUUGUGUGUGCUAUUGCUGCCAUAGGAGAGUGAAUAAACCAGACUAUGAGCCGAACAAUGGAUUCAAGUACCUGAAGAGACUGACUCAACGUUACAAAUAUUCACUCUAGAACAGCAGUGUUUUGAAAUAGCAGCAGAAGUGGAACGAUCGCGAACUCCAAGUCCUCCUCCGACUUACGAUGAGGUGGUCAGCAGUCAGAGCAAGAAGGACGACCAGAGUCCUCCAAGCUACGAUUCCGCCGUCAAAUUGGCAGCAUGUGGAUAUGUUUAGUAUGUGUAUAGUGUGUAACUCUAAAAACUUCUAUUACAACUUCAAAAACCAGUGACUGCAGAAGCACACAUUAUGCUCAAUCUGGAAGAUUCGCACAUUUCUCAAUGGAUGCCUUCGCUAAAUUGAACCACAAUGACAACUGAGCACAAAAUAAUUCACCAAAAAAUGUUUAAAAUAAGUGGGAAAACUAGAUAUAGAUCAUUGACUGUUUUCUUUAUAGAAAUCCUAGGACGUACAUAAACAUAACUAGUUCUCACUGAAAAUGUUAUCAUUUGUUGUUGAAGUUUUAUUUAUACUGUGAAUAAU
This is an RNA transcript of Nilaparvata lugens (brown planthopper), 1503 nucleotides long. RefSeq lists it as uncharacterized. The transcript has 3 exons. NCBI's taxonomy places the organism in Eukaryota, Metazoa, Arthropoda, Insecta, Hemiptera, Delphacidae. The record is from RefSeq and is a predicted model, not a curated record.